RNAcentral lists this ribosomal RNA (481 nucleotides) under uncultured bacterium. Its description in RNAcentral is "partial 16S ribosomal RNA". It matches the Rfam family "Bacterial small subunit ribosomal RNA", at positions 28 to 507 of the family's 1533-position model. The record is from RNAcentral.
GAUGAACGCUGGCGGCGUGCUUAACACAUGCAAGUCGAACGAAGCAUUUAGGACAGAUUACUUCGGUUUGAAGUUCUUUAUGACUGAGUGGCGGACGGGUGAGUAACGCGUGGGUAACCUGCCUUGUACUGGGGGAUAGCAGCUGGAAACGGCUGGUAAUACCGCAUAAGCGCACAAUGAUGCAUGACAUGGUGUGAAAAACUCCGGUGGUAUAAGAUGGACCCGCGUCUGAUUAGCUAGUUGGUGAGAUAACAGCCCACCAAGGCGACGAUCAGUAGCCGACCUGAGAGGGUGACCGGCCACAUUGGGACUGAGACACGGCCCAGACUCCUACGGGAGGCAGCAGUGGGGAAUAUUGCACAAUGGAGGAAACUCUGAUGCAGCGACGCCGCGUGAGUGAAGAAGUAAUUCGUUAUGUAAAGCUCUAUCAGCAGGGAAGAUAGUGACGGUACCUGACGAAGAAGCUCCGGCUAAAUACGUG